This 253-nucleotide ribosomal RNA is filed under the name uncultured bacterium. RNAcentral's name for it is "partial 16S ribosomal RNA". It matches the Rfam family "Bacterial small subunit ribosomal RNA", at positions 524 to 776 of the family's 1533-position model. The record is from RNAcentral.
UACGUAGGGUGCGAGCGUUGAUCGGAAUUACUGGGCGUAAAGUGUGCGCAGGCGGCCGAGCAAGUCGAGUGUGAAAGCCCCGAGCUUAACUUGGGAACUGCGCUCGAAACUACUUGGCUAGAGUGUGGCAGAGGGAGGUGGAAUUCCACGUGUAGCGGUGAAAUGCGUAGAGAUGUGGAGGAACACCGAUGGCGAAGGCAGCCCCCUGGGCUAACACUGACGCUCAGGCACGAAAGCGUGGGGAGCAAACAGG